Molecule: RNA transcript, 4614 nt
Organism: Amaranthus tricolor (Joseph's coat)
Lineage: Eukaryota; Viridiplantae; Streptophyta; Magnoliopsida; Caryophyllales; Amaranthaceae
Exons: 3
Source: RefSeq, a predicted model, not a curated record
UUCGAGUCGGAUUCUACUAUCCGGUUUUUGAUCGGACUAACCAAACAAAUAUCUAUAUUCGAAUUCCUACAAGGUUACAAUGUCGUACUCAAUCGAGGAAAUUAACAAACCAAAACAGAUUAACAGAAACCUCCAUUUUCCAUCAAUGGCCUCUCCUUCACUCGGUGGUGUAGAAACUCCGAAGAAAACAACAGUAAGCUUCUGGAAGAACGCCAUGAAAAGGAAGCACAACUUCAUCCAAUUUUUCGCCAUGACUGGAAUUCUUCUUAUCAGUAUGCGUUCUCUAGGUCAAAAGUACCGUCUGCAUGACCUUCAAGAAGAUACUACUGCACUUGAAGAUGAACACCGUUCUCUUACCGAUCGUAUGAACCACAUUAAAUCUAGUCUUCGCCAUGAAGCUUCUCUCGAUUCCUCUGGAAUGUUCGCCAAGCGUCUUCGUCUCCUUUUCGGCGAUGAUCAGUAAUAUUUAAUUCAGGUCUUUGGUUUUGGAAUCCACAGCGUUCGUUCUAAUCGUAUGUACUACAUCAAAUCUAUUCUUCGCCGUAUAGCAUCUCUCGAUUCUUCCGGAAUGUUUGCUUCUCGUCUUUGACUCCUGCUGCGAUGAUUAGUAAUGUGUUAUUUUUUCUGAAUUAUCUUAAUGUUGUAGUUUAAUGUUAGGGUUUAGAAAUUAUGCGGCAUUUUGUGCAAUAAUGUAAUCACUAAAUAAGUAUGUUCAGCAAAAUUAUGAUGGAACUAUAUGAAUAUUUUUUUGUUUUGGUUCAACUGUGUCUGCAAAUUGACAUGUUUAGGUGUUAAAUAUUCAGUUAUAGAAUCAUGUUCAUUUUGUGAGUCAUUGUUAUACUACAUUUGAGGCUUAGUAAUCAGCUGCCUCUUGGCUGCUUUUAGUUUCUUGUUUAGUUGUACGCACGCAAUCUAACAUUAAUGUGUAAUCUAACAUUGAUGUGUUAAAGAUGUUCCAUUAGAAUAUGAAAUAACAUGUCCGGAUAUUGGCGUGGUAUUCAGCUCUGACUCUGCCUUCUCCAUCUCUCGACCAAAGAGUUGAGGGUGAGGUGGAGGAGGGCGAUAGGUUAGCUGGUGGGCGACAAGGAUCUUGCCCAGCUGGCCUCGGUUCCUGCUAAAACGAGGGUUAACGAGCUGCUUGCCCUCCAAGCGGAGAUGAAUAUUGGGAUGCAGUACGAGAUCACUACUGCCCUCGGGUUAGAGGUAAUGUAUGUCGAUCUUCGAGCAGCUAAGAAGAGGAUCCACGAGCUAAACGGGAAGUUGAUCGUGAAAAACGAUCAGAUUAUGAACCUGACCCGAGAGAACAAAAGCCUCCACCACUCCCUCGAGGGCAUGCGCGAGAAGUGCCGGUUUCUAAAGGAGGCCGUGCUUGUUCGCGAGAAGCAACUGUCUCUGAAGAAGAAAAUCGCCAAGGAGUGGAUGGAGACCGGCGAGAGCAAGCAGUUCGUGGCCCGGCUGGGGGCCAACACUGUCAGUCAAGGCAUGCGGGUGAAGGAGCUGAUGUUUGAAUAUGCUCAUGAGAAAUUAGGGGCAACUCCUGAUUGGGAGACCUUCUUCAGCGCCACCGAUGCCGAAUACGAUAGGGCAAUUCAUCAGGCCACCGAGAAGCUGAAAGAGAUUGAAGAGGUGGGGCCUGAUGAAGAAGAUGCCGCUGACAGGGAGGCAUGGGAGAAGGUGCUUGCAGGGGAGGUUGAGGCUAGGUUUAGAGAUGUCGACUUUGCUCAUUAUGACAUCUCUAUCCCCUCAAGGCCGGCAACCCCAUCCUCUUCUCCUAUCGCCGCCGUUCCCUUGCUCCCCCCCUCUUCGGAUUCCCCGGCUUCGCCGGCAGCUUCUGGGGGUGAGGGGUUGGCCCUCGAUGAGGAGCAGUUGGAGCCGCUGUUUAGCAUGGAGGAGUUAUUUUCUGAAUGAUUUGUUUAGGUUGUUAGAUUGGUGGACUACGGUCCUCUUGUACCCAUUUUAAAAACAAUUUUUUCGGCCACGGCCUAUUUACAUGACAAUUUAUGUCAGGUUAAUGCCUGUUUUGUUCCAUGCUUUGCCGAAUUCUGGUUUGAAAUUUUCAUCGUUGCUUUUGACUUACUUAGCAACAUAGGGUCCGGAUAGGUAGACAAAGAAGUCAGUCGCUAAAAAUUAAACACUUGAUUACUUGAACUUAAACAUAGAAUUUCUUCAAGUGAUCCGUAUUCCAUGACCUGGGCAGGGGUUUGCCGUUGUCUUCUAACUCGUAAGUUCCCCACCUAAGUACUCGGGCGAUCUUGAAAGGUCCGUCCCAUGUCCUUCCGAGUUUUCCCUUUUCCAUAAUCUUCCCCGUGGCCUCGAUUUUUCUGAGCACGAAGUCACCGGCUAGAAACUCCCUUGGUUUUACUCUUCUGUUAAAUUGCCUCGUCAUUCUUUGUUUUUGUGCGAUGGCUCUGAGGAGGGCGUUCCCUCUUGUUUCCGGGAGUAGGUCGAGGUUGAUCGGCUUAUCCUGAUCAUUGUUGUAUUGAUCGUAAUAAGUUACUCGGGUAGAGGGGAUGCCAACUUAAACCCGGAGGACUGCUUCGGUUCCAAAUACCAGAGAGAAAGGUGUAUGACUAGUGGCUUCUUUGAUAGUUGUUCGACUGGCCCAGAGCACUCCGGGUAGCUCUUCUACCCAAUUAUCACGGCUCCCUUCUAGCUUUUUCUUAAUGCCAUUGAGUAUUAUUUUAUUUUCGAACUCUACUUGCCCAUUCGUCUGGGGGCGGGAGACCGACGUGAACCUGAUUUGUAUGUUAAAACGGCCGCAAUAUUAUUUGGUCUCGGCGCUGUUGAAUUGCGGCCAUUGUCGGAGAUUAUGACUUGUGGGACGCCAUACCUAGUGAUGAUAUUCCUCCAUAUGAACUGGCAUACCUGUUUAUAUUAUAUUGUGCUAAGGGCCUCAGCCUCAAAAUACUUUGUGAAGUAGUCUACGGCAACCAGGACAUAUCUUCGCUGUCCGCUGGCCGGUGGGAAAGGACCGAGAAGGUCAAUUCCCCACCAGUCGAAGGGGAGAACGGCUUACAUCGAGGAAAGAUAAUUGGUGGAUAAUUGGUGGGUCGGCGAGGCACUUCUCCAAAAAAAUGGCACUUUUCACAAGUCUUGACUAACUUUUCAGCGUCGGCCUUGAGACUGGGCCAAUAGUACCCAUUCCUCAGAGUCUUCACGAUCAGGGUCCGUAUCCCUUGAUGUGUCUCACACGCUCCUUCAUGUAUCUCGCGUAGAAUGUAAUUCCCCUCGGUCGGGGUUACGCACUUGAGGAGGGGGUGAGUGUAAGACAUCUUAUACAGCGCUCCAUCAUACCACUCGAACCAUUUCGCCUUUUUCAUGAUGAUCGGCCCUAGCUCAGGGUCCUCUUGUAGCUGUCCGUCUCUCAGAAACACUAUGUAAGGAUCCAUCCAAGAAUCAGUCUGAUUCACUCCCUCGAUGAAGGCGUUGAUGCUAGGGCUUGGUAGUACUUCCCAAAUUAUAUUCUGUGGCUCGUCACUUAUGGCCGAACUUGCCAAUCUUGAUAGGGCAUCGGCCUAUGCAUUCUCAGAUCUAGGUAUAUGGAGAAUUGCAACCGAGUCGAAUUUUGCUACUGCUUCCCGUACCUUGACGAGGUACAUCUUCAUGCUAUCAUCUUUUGCUUCAUAAUCGCCAUUCACAUGUCCGACGAUCAACUGCGAAUAGGUGUGUGCGAUAACUUUUUUCGAACCGGAUGCGAGGCAUAUUCCUAAUCCUAACAGCAGAGCUUCGUAUUCGGCUUCAUUGUUGGUGGCCAUGAAGUUGAAUCGUACCGCAUGUUCGAGCCUAGCACCGUUAGGAGACAUAAUUAAUAGCCCUGCACCUGAACAGGUCCGGCUAGAGGAUCCAUCCACGUAUAAUAUCCAUGCUUCUUCCGAGCGGAUUUCUUCCAUUGAUCCUAUCAUCUAUGCGAUGAAGUCUGCCAGAGCUUGCGCCUUGAUGGCUGUUCUAGGUUCAUAUUCAAUUCCGUAGUCGGCCAUUUGAUUGGCCCAGUCCGCAACACGGGCCGAUUGAUUUUUUCCUUCUAGCAGCUUUCUCAAUGGCUGAGAGGUUCGCACAACAAUGGGUGCGACUAGAAGUAUGGCUUAAGCUUCCGACUGGCCAUGACUAAAGCGAAAAGUGAUUUUUCAACUGGACUAUAGCGGGACUCGGAGCCGUGGAAAGCGUGGCUGAUGUAAUAAAUGGGACAUUGCUGUUUGUGUCUUUCCGCCACCAGUAGCGCACUCAACGAAUAGUCCGAGACGGAUAUAUAGAGAUACAAGGUUUCGUCCGGCAAGGGUGAAACGAGCUUAGGGACUUCGGCAAGGAAUCUCUUCAGCUCAAUAAAAGCUUUUUCGGCCUCUUCAUCCCAUUUGAAAUUGGUUUGCUUCAAAACGCGAAAGAAUGUUGAACAACGGUCAGCUGAUUUUGACAUAAAACGGCUUAAAGCUGCGAUGCAGCCGGUGAGGCGUUGCACCUCCUUGAUAGUUCUAGGAGACUUCAUUGCCAAGAUGGCUUGUAUCUUGUCCGGGUUAGCCUCGAUGCCUCUUUUAUCAACGAGGAAGCCGAGGCAUUUCCCGCCGGUGACCCCAAAAAUAUAUUUCUCCGGAUUAAGGCGCAUUCUGUAGGUGAGGAGGG